RNAcentral lists this ribosomal RNA (331 nucleotides) under uncultured eukaryote. RNAcentral describes it as "partial 18S ribosomal RNA". It matches the Rfam family "Eukaryotic small subunit ribosomal RNA", at positions 1470 to 1796 of the family's 1831-position model. The record is from RNAcentral.
CCCUUAGAUGUUCUGGGCGACACGCGCGCUACAAUGGCAGCUGCAAAGAGUUUUGGGCCUUCGCGGCCCGUUCCUGUCUCGAGAGAGAUGUGGAAAUCUUUGAAAAGCUGUCGUGCUGGGGAUUGAGCCUUGGAAUUAUUGCUCAUGAACGAGGAUUCUCUAGUAGUCCCAGUUCAUCAGACUGGGGCGAAUGCGACCCUGCCCUUUGUACACACCGCCCGUCGCACCUACUGAUGGGAGUUUUGGCGAGGCCUUGGGAGGUCUGGCGACUUCGGUCGUCGGGUCAAACUCGGUCGAGCCAACCCUCCUAGAGGAAGGUGAAGUCGUAACA